This 1099-nucleotide unclassified non-coding RNA is filed under the name Hevea brasiliensis (rubber tree). The record is from RNAcentral. Lineage: Eukaryota; Viridiplantae; Streptophyta; Magnoliopsida; Malpighiales; Euphorbiaceae.
AGGUGCCAUUGUGCGAUAAAAAUUAGCGGACAAUAAAGUGGAAGCAGUAUGAGUUUCACUGGGGCUUCCGUGGGUUCUGUUGCCGGAACUGCUCGAAGGGCAUUUGAGUUUGGACAGACUUAUGUGGUGAAGCCCAAAGGUAAACACCAGGCAACCAUUGUCUGGCUGCAUGGCCUUGGGGACAAUGGUUCGAGCUGGUCCAACCUCUUGGAGACCCUUCCUCUUCCCAAUAUCAAAUGGAUCUGCCCAACUGCCCCCCAACGACCAAUAACUUUAUUCGGAGGCUUCCCUUCUACUGCCUGGUUUGAUGUCAAUGACCUUUCUGAAAAUGCUAUUGACGAUAACGAAGGUUUGGAUGCUUCAGCAGCAUAUGUGGCGAGUUUGUUGGCUACAGAGCCCUCUCAUAUCAAACUUGGGGUCGGAGGCUUCAGCAUGGGCGCAGCAACCUCCCUUUACUCUGCCACUUGCUUCGUCCGUGGGAAGUAUGAGAAUGGCAACUCGUACCCUGUCAAUCUGAGUGCAGCUGUUGGAUUAAGUGGCUGGCUUCCCUGUGCAAAGACUCUUACUAGCAAAUUAGAAGGGGUAGAGGGGGCUGUAAACCGUGCUACAUCAUUGCCCAUUCUUCUUUGUCAUGGCAAAGGAGAUGAUGUUGUUCCAUAUAACUAUGGUGAGAAGUCUUCUCAGAAGUUACGUUCAUGCGGAUUUCAAGAUGUGGCAUUCAAAUCCUACACCGCACUUGGCCACUAUACAAUCCCAGAGGAGAUGGAUGAAGUUUGUAGUUGGCUAACUUCAAAGUUGGGACUUGAGGGAAAAUCAUAAGUUGUACUUCUGUUGGGCAACUUUCAUUGCACAAAUAUGGAGAAUCAGCAUUAUCAUUGUUAAUGUGUUGAAGCAGCACUGAAAAAAUUUGCAGAAACGCGAAGAUUGACUGAUUCACCUUCUAAUAUGUCGCGUCUUUACAUUGUUCAGCGGCCAUUUUGUGCCUACUUCUGUAUUAUCUAAUCACAACGAUAACGAUGUUUUGGGUGUUUAUUCUUAAAUACCAUUUGAUGAGAGACAAAAUUAUGUCCAUUGACAUGAUUUACUUUGGCAAUUUAGU